AUUGAACGCUGGCGGAAUGCUUUACACAUGCAAGUCGAACGGCAGCACGGGGGCAACCCUGGUGGCGAGUGGCGAACGGGUGAGUAAUACAUCGGAACGUGCCCAGUCGUGGGGGAUAACGUAGCGAAAGUUACGCUAAUACCGCAUACGAUCUACGGAUGAAAGCGGGGGACCGUAAGGCCUCGCGCGAUUGGAGCGGCCGAUGUCCGAUUAGGUAGUUGGUGAGGUAAAGGCUCACCGAGCCGACGAUCUGUAGCUGGUCUGAGAGGACGACCAGCCACACUGGGACUGAGACACGGCCCAGACUCCUGCGGAAGGCAGCAGUGGGGAAUUUUGGACAAUGGGCGCAAGCCUGAUCCAGCCAUUCCGCGUGCAGGACGAAGGCCUUCGGGUUGUAAACUGCUUUUGUACGGAACGAAAAGGCUCUGGCUAAUACCUGGGGCUCAUGACGGUACCGUAAGAAUAAGCACCGGCUAACUUCGUGCCAGCAGCCGCGGUAA
RNAcentral lists this ribosomal RNA (500 nucleotides) under uncultured bacterium. RNAcentral's name for it is "partial 16S ribosomal RNA". It matches the Rfam family "Bacterial small subunit ribosomal RNA", at positions 30 to 523 of the family's 1533-position model. The record is from RNAcentral.